ACGUGAAACUGUUUCCAAAGCUGGAAGCGGGCGGCUGGCGAACUGUCCCCUUAACUGUCGCAACCACUCAACUCUGCCACGGCCGCGCCCAGGCAGCCGGAGGCGGUGUGGCCACGAGUGUGCCUGGCUGUUGCCAGCAGCUUCAUUACGACACAGCGCGGGGCGGAUCUGACCCCGGGCGCCACAUGUGUGCGCCUGCCCUCCACCCUGCCGUGACUGGGUCUAUCACCACUGAGCACGGAGAGGAGAAAAGACAGGCAUGAGUUUAAAUUGUUAUGACAAAAAAUUUGUUUUGCCAGAAAUGCUAAAUCAGAAGACAGACAAGUUCCAGAACGUGGUGGCUGGCGACUGCUGAAGGGUCUCCUUUCCUGGGCAUUUCAGGAAGACACUGUCCACAAAGAAUCCAGGACUAUCCUGACGAGAAAGAGACAUUAAGUUUCAAAGGGUACUGGGACCCCCAGACGAGGAGACAGGCCACAGAUUUCCGCAGCAUCUAAGCCUUGGCUGUCAAGGUCAAGCUCAAACUCAACGAGGAAGCUUCCAUUCGGAGUCUGAGCAAUGUUGGCUCGCUCUGGGCCUGCCCCUCUGCUACUCCUGGCAGCGCUAGCGAGCCUUCACUGCGCCUUCCCCAGGCGCCGGCUCUCCAUGGGUUUCUCCUGUUUCCUACAGAGACUUUGAACAUGAAUGGCAGGCGUCGCCUUAGGUGUCUUUGUGUUAUCGACACUGAGAAUAGGACUAUGUACAAGAUAGCACUUUAAUUUUGUGAACCACAAAAAAUAUAUAUUUGGGGGGAAAACUAAGCUGAUAGUCAAGUUUUUUUUUCAAAAUCAAAACAUUGUCUAAAGUCCCCCGCCAGCCUGCCUUGAAAAAGGAAGCGUGGUCAGCUGCUCAAGUCUAACAGGUGCGCGCUGGUUCUCCAAGAUGUGAAGCAAUCUGAGAAUCGGGUGGUUCUGUGCCCACAAAAUAAGGGAACUCCUGAUCAUUUCACCCAGAGGGGUUGACAGUAAUGUUCUAACGACAUAUUUUUCAGGCCCACGUUUCUUAACUGCAGUGAAAUAAAACCUGUUACUAUUACAUGUCAA
This is a long non-coding RNA of Myotis lucifugus (little brown bat), 1082 nucleotides long. RefSeq lists it as uncharacterized. The transcript is spliced from 2 exons. NCBI's taxonomy places the organism in Eukaryota, Metazoa, Chordata, Mammalia, Chiroptera, Vespertilionidae. The record is from RefSeq and is a predicted model, not a curated record.